UGUCUUUAUCAUCUUUUGAACGUAACGCGACGUUUCUCUGAGGAUGUGAUUCCGGCGUCAUCCAACAGGGGGCCCACUCAUCUAUUUGGGGCUACUUGGGAGAGUGUCACCUGGGUGCUGACCAAUGCACAAGGCACAGCUGAGGUCCGUGAGGCUGUUAAAAGGUCUUCUCUGGUGUGACCGUGUUUCACGCUGUACUACAGUACUGUCCACAUAUCCAAAUGAAACGUGAACAUCCAGAGUUUUAGAGUUAUAAUCCCAUUUGGCUCUAUUAACAUCAUUAAUGCUCUUGUUCAGAUGUUCAAUACUGGGAUUAGUCAUUUAAAUAACCCAGAAGGUGUUACCUAACAGGCUGAUUUUCCUCUACACUGCUUAAAAGGUCACUUAAAUGCUACGAGAAAGUUUCUCCCAUGAAUGUCCUAAUUCUUAAUUUCUUAACCGGUUUCGUAACCUAUGGUUACACAUCGAUGAGCUGUAUACUCUCCCCCAUGGCAGCGUCUGGCCCUCUACGUAUGUGAAAGACUGUCACACAUGCAGAUUACGGCACCGGAUUUUUUAGUGCGCGUGUGUGUUUGUGAGAUAAGGCAUGUGUGUGCCAUGUCGGUCUGUGUGUGUGUGUGUCCGCUCUCCCUCACAGGAGAGCCGGGAGCCAGAGUACACUGUUAUACCCAAAGCCUGAGAGAGGCCCAGCAAGUCAGUUUCUUCAAGAGUUAUGCUCUAAUGUGGCAGAGGGGGCCUCUCGCUUUUGACUUAGCGAGGAAUUAUAGAGCACAGACCUGUAAAACAUCUUGUACCCUCAUCUCUCCCAUUAUGUGAAAUACAAUAAUCUACAGAAUUACUACGGCAUUCUCAGGGAAUGUGAAUUCAUACAUUUCUGCUUGUAUCAUCUAUCUGGUGAAGGAAACCAUUUCUGUAGAUUUAGCAUCUACAAAACGAGAAAAAAGUGGAAUGCUUUAGAAUACGAAUAAUAACUAGGGGACUUGGUGUUGGGCGAACCUCUGAUGCCGUGCAGAAAGCAUGAGAUCCGGACCAUCAGAAUACACAGGUCAUGAUAUCUGCGGUCUGGGUCAUGCAGCCUAUUCUAGGGUUUUACAGACAGAGAGAGAGGGAGAGUUUGGAGUUUGGAACAAUUUAUUUCUACUAUUCUCUGCAUUUAAGAAUAAUUAUAAAGACAUCAAAACUGUAGAGUAACAUACAUGAAAUUAUGCACUGAUCAAAAAAGUGUUAAACAAAAUAAUUCACUUGGACCCUUGAGCAAGGCUUCACCCCAGUUCUUCCAGGGACUGGCUGACCCUACUGUCCCCUCUACACCGGUUUCAUGCGGUGGCCUCCUGGGAUGCUGUGACAGCUGUCCUGAAGUACAUCCCACAUAUACCGAGCUCACUGAGGAUGAAGCUGACAGUGAAGAUGACUGGUCCUCUGGGCUCCACCAGUCGAUGUCCUCUUACUGAGUCACCCCCUCCUAUGGAUCACAGUUCUGGGAGAAAAAGCCCCCCCUCGCUGCAUUAUAACAGAGUGUGCCAAGUACCUUUCUGCGGGAAAUUCAUGAGGAGCUUGAGGUGUGCACAGUUUUUGGGAUGCGGAGGAAUGGCAGAGAACAUGAACGAGGAGACGCCAAAUGCAGAUCAUUCCCCCAGAUGAUGGUGAUUCAUUCUGCAAUCAGAGGAAAGAAGAGAGAGAGGCAUGAUCAGAGCUAAGUGAAUCACCACACUCACACGCGCUGGUCACACACCUUGUCGUGUUACGCAGAACGCAACAAGGCCGGGGAAAUCUGACUGUAAUGGGAGAAGCAGCAGGCGGAUCUAAUCAAGGAACUGUGCAACUGUGGGAAUUUGAGAAGGGAGAUCUCAGCCGUGGGGCUGCACAAGGAAGUGAAACAGUGAGGUGCAGCCAGGUGAAGCUUUUGGGUUAGUUUGCAGCACCCUCACACACUCACCAUGAAGGUCACUGUGAAGAUCAGCGUGAAGAUCUGUGUGAAUAUCACCAUAAAUAUCAGUGCAAAGAUUAGUGUGAAGGCCACCGCAAAGAUCAUCGUGAAGAUCAGCGCGAAGGUCUCCAUGAAGAUCAAUGUGAAGGUCAUUGUGAAGGUCAUUGUAAAGAUUGCCAUGAAGAUCAACGUGAAGAUCACAGUGAAGGUCACUACAAAGAUCAGUGUGAAUAUCUCCAUGCAGAUCAGUGUCAAGAUCACCUGUAAACGUCCUGUUCCUCACAUGAGACACCUCGCACUUUCUCCUCCUGUCUCUCUAACUAGCCCAUCCGCCCCAAUUGUGGUUCCCCCUUUGCCCUCCACCUGUCAUUUUCUCCAUACUCCACAGGCUGUUCCAUCCUUCUUCCCCUCUCCUCCUCCUUCUCCUCUUACCUCGUUUAGAUCUCCGUCUUGAUUUCCCUCUUGUGUGAUGAGACGGCUUGUCAUUUAAGUGAAUGCCCCACCCCCCCCAUGGCUGCAGGGGUGCUGCAUCAGAUGCAGGGUGCUUCAGUGCGUGUGAUGUGAGUGUGAGGAGGAACAUGCCUGUUUUGGUGCCCCCUAAUUACGAGAUUUCACUAUUAACGGGGCGAGGAGCUUCACAUUCCCGUUUCUGUCCCCAAUGUGAGGAGUAGCAGUGUUUACCACCAAUAAAACCACACAUUUGCAUGGGGCCCCUGAGUUUGGGGGCCCCUGUUGGCCACAAACAGGAAGGGUGGAGGAUGUUCAAAGUAGUGGUUUUUUGAGUUGGGCCCUAAAAACAACAAGCCCACCCCUGAUUCUGAGGCAGGUCAGCAACCUCACAUGGGAUACCCUGUGACCCAUUUGACCGUGAACCCUUCCCCGGACCCUCGAGCUCCUGUAGCACAUUAAAGCGAAUGAUCAGUGAUGCAAAUCCCGCAAGGAUGUCUGGGCAGAGUGAGAACGCCAGACUAAGCAGCCGUAAAGCUGCAGAAUUCAAAAUUUAUGGCUCCGUCUCCUGGAGGACCUUCAGCUUUUAUGUCCGAUCCUGCUGCCAGAUUUUGUAUUCGUUUCCUUUUUUUUUAAAAAAAAAAAAAGAAAGACAAUCAGUGUUAUAAAAACCAUGAUAGCAAUAAUAAAAACACUGAUUUAAAAUGGUUUUCUCCAGAGAACGCUGAUGCUUCAGUAUCAGCUGGGUCAUUAAAAGAAACUCCCCUCUGAAAGUGCCACCGCAACCGUUUAAGAAGAGAUUCACACUUAACUUGGAAAAGUACAGAACAUAUACAGAGAUUCUAAAUCUACCCUGAUUCACCUCCCAUGCCUCAAUUAGCUGUGAGCUGACAGGUAUGGACAUGAUAUAUAUAUACUGUUUUACUACAACAUUAGCAGAACAGUUAGCGGUCAAGGUGGGUGAUUUUACAGCUCUUAGUUGUCUUAUUUUAUACUCCGUUGUGACUUGAGAAUUUUCUAUAGUUUGAGUAGCACCGAGAUGCAUGAUAUUUCUGAUUGCUUUCAGGUUUGUGAGCUGUUGUUUUUCAAAUCUUUGAUGUAAUUAAGGUAAUUAAGAAGCCCCCCCCCCACCACAUCCUAUCAUGCUCAGAGGUCACCUAUAACAACGUCACUGUUUUGGCCAUAACUACAGUAGAACUCACACAGCAUCAUCAAAUCUAACUAACGCCAGUCAGCAUACGUAACUGAUUUCUCUCAAUAAUUAUUAUCCGCGCGAUAUAUUCUCCAUGGUACAAGAGCCGUGUACCACACCACAAAGUGCUUUUUUACAGGUAAAUAUGUGCACAACCCUGACAAAGGCAGUGUGGUCAAGUUUGUAGUUCACUUCCACGUCAGCACUCUGGUUCCUGUUCUAUAUUCUACAGUAUAAGUGCGAAUCGUGGACACAAAUUGCUAACACAUUCCUCUCAGCUGUGCCCUUUGAUAUACAUCAGCUCUAAAUCUUAGCGUCUGUCCCUCUCCGGGCCGCCGUCAGGCCCGAAGUCGAUGAAUUAUUCCCUCUCGAGGCCCGGACCCAAAACAAAACAUCAAAAUACGGCGGGCGUGCAAAGGCAGCGCUCCCCAGCGCCGGCGAGCUGCCGAUAGCAUCCUAAACGCCCCGACGCAAGUGGCGUCCCAGAGAGGGGGAACGGGAAGCAGCUUCGGCCGAGUCCAGACCGGAUAUCGAUGUGGAGAUGAAGGUAAUAAAUGAGCCCACUGAUUUUAACGCAGGGGACGGGCGGAUGGGCGACGGAACUGGCCGCGAUAAGAGUAAAAACGCAGGUCCCUGGCAUAAUUACACACCGCCUGCAUGCACUUUCUGUCAAAACAAGGCAGUUUUUCAUCUAGCCGGAGAACAGCCAGCACUGUUCAACCAGAUAUAUAAUACCUGCAAAAAUAACAAGGCUAUGAUUUACUCAAAAAAAAAAAAAAAAAAAAUACUAAUGGGACUAAAAUGCUAUUUUUGCUCUAAAUAUGUGAAUUAAAAAAAUUGAAGCUACGACAAACAAGUCGCGGUGUUCUCUCCCGAGAUGUGGAUGUGCCGUAUUUCCCAUCAUCCCAUUGGAGCGUGCAGCCUUGGGCCGGCCACUCAGCCACGCCCUCGAUGUCUUUCCUGUUCCUACCUCAGUAUCACCUCAGGGUAGUCUGCGAUUUACGGGGUCUUCAGCAGAGACAUGAGAUGUUUUUAGCAUCGUCAAUCCCAAAUAGUAACCAGCCAAUCAGCCAAUCCGGACAGAUGGAUUUCACUCCAAACACCCAAACACCCCACAGGGUCGUCUGUUUUUUGUCCUUUGUGGGAUCCCAUCUCCAAGUCUCAUGCAAAGUUCUUAUGCUAAACAUGCACAGAUGUGAUUCCCCCCAAAACUCCAAAACAGCUAAAUGCUUGAAAACAGCCCUUAAUACCUCCCCUUCUGCAGUACAUGGCCAUUUCCACACACGUUAUUUAAUCACCUUUUCAAGCAAUAAUCAGACUAUUUUCAUUCUUUCCCUGGCUGGUCGGAUACCUACCUUGCAUUUAUCUACUCCUUUGCAAUACACACAAUAUCUGCAUUAUAUGUUUACAUUGCGCAAUAUGCUUACACUGCAUUGUGUUCAUGUAUUAAUCGUCAUAUCGAAACACCUUAAUUUGUAUGUUUGUGUUUACUGCUUUCCGGGAAGAUAUGCAGAGUGAGAUUUUCAUUAUAUUGUGUAAUCGACUGUUUACUGUGCAUAUGACAAUAAACUCGCAGAUCUUGAAUCUAAGUAAAUUUAGUUUCUCCUCUCCCAAUAAAUGGCUGCGGAAUAAAGAUGGAUGAAUAUUUUUUCCCUCAGAAAAAUGUGUGUUGCUUAUAAUGUGUGAUUAAGUGCUUGAGAGAAUGUGAUAUAUUAGGUAACAUUUGAUUUAUUGAUUGAUACAGGCCUUAUCUCCGUGGAAAUGCACAGAGCCGGCUCGAUAGCGAAUGAGGCCGAGUGUGCUGCACACGGAAUAAUGUGACGCGAGCGAGACGGUCGAGUCUGAGACGGCAGAGUGAAUCGGUUUCUGGCACUUUCCAUUCGCAGGAGGGAAGCUCAAACUUGAGUUUCCCAUCCCGGAAGAAAAGUUUACGGCGACUUCGGGAGACGUUUAUAUCAGAGCACAUACCUUGAAACAUCGGCUCCCAGCCAUUAUCUCUCUUACCCUGAAGUAUUUAUUCAGACAUGCAGCUUAUUUCAGCUUAUCAGACAGCGGACCUUCAGUCAGGUAUGCUCCAGAAUGGAAGCUUACGCCUAGCACGCUUACAGAUAACAGAAGCCCCAAAGUUAUGGAGCAGAACUGCUGCAGUUCAGUUCCAGUUCUUAUCAAAUUUCUUUCCACGCUUUUAAUUAAUUUUUAAAUAAAUGUCACCUCUUCUUUCCAAAACCUACCACAUGAAAUAUGGAGCAGAUUGAAGGAUGUCUUCCCAACUCCUGGAGUUCCACAACUUUGCAAAUCCCGAGACCACCCCUUAGAAAUUGUCUUUCUUUGGUGUUUGAUUCAAAGUCCUUGAUGCUUCAGUGUCUUUCUUUGCCUUUGGAGGUGAGUGACACGCUCGAGGUGGGGGUGGCAGUGCUGGUGAUCCCCCCCCAAAGGGGCAGAUGGCUGUAGAAACACAAGCCUCUGUGUGUCAGACACCCUUGUCAUCCUGUGUGAUCUAAGCCAUGUUUGAACCUCCUAAUGAUGCCUCCUGAAGCCAUCACUCGUCGAGACGCCCGUCUCAGCCUGGGACUGGGUGGCUGCUUCACUCCUCGUCUAUGUUGACGACAUCAUGAGGACGUUCUACCAGGAUGCCACCGAGGACCCCCUGGCGACAGGGACCACCUUAGCGGCCCUGUGCUCCUCACACUUGCUCACAGUUUGAUUCCACCCCUCCCAUCCCCAGCCCAGUCCAUGAAACUCCUACUGGGGCUAGCUUCUAGAACAUUCUGCCACUGGUUUCUGUUCCCAGUGCCAUUACCUUCAGAUAGAAAAUCUCGCACACAUUCCCCAAUUUGAAUGGCUACCUUUUUUGUGGAACAACUCAAGCUAAGCCCCAACUCUUAGGAGGUACAACUGGAGGGUCUUCCUGGGAUGGAAAUUGGACCCUUCAGGGAAUAAGCCCCUGUCCUUGACUCACCUACUUCCUGUGCAGGUGUCAUGAUUGACCUUUGACCUGACAUAAUCAUCUCUUUGCCGUUAACACAUAUCGUUUGGGUCCUGGUUUCAGCAACCAUGACUCAUGGUUUUAAUCAGCAUACGUAAUUGCAUUCAAUUUAAACCCAAAUUGCAAUUUUUAUUCACGCCGUACGCCACGCUUUAUUAAUGAAGUGAUUUCGGCUGGGACGUGCUUGAGGGCAGCUUUGGGGGGGUGUCAUUCCCGAUGUUUCUCACAGGGCAUUCCGCCGCGCAUUCCUCCCAUUCUGAUGACUCGGGGACCAGGGGGGUGGGGGGUUUCCCUUUCGUGGAUGCUCGUCUCUUUGUGUCACAACUGGGGCGUGACCAUUAGGCCAACAAACUGUGUCAUGUGACGUUUACAUAUGAGGGCUGGGACGCCAGCUGACGCUGAGGGAGAGAGAGAGUGAGAAAGAGAUUGUAUAUGGAUUUAUGCCUAAGUUUGUGUGCUUUUGUGGGACUGUGUAUAUCCAAGUGUGUGCGUAUGUAUGUGUAUGUGUGUGUACCUGAGACAUCGUUUAUCCCAUUUCUUAACCGAAUUAUGUAAGCAAUAUAAGAGAUUUACUCCAAGCUGAGGUUUGGUCGUUAAUGGGAUCAAAAUGAAAUCACUCCCUCUGUCAUCCUCUCACCUGUUAAGAGAGAGAGUGACUUUAUUCCGAUGGCUAUAAAGGCUGGAGGAUUUUAUUAAAGCCCAGCUUCCUGCCGUUCGAACGUGGCUGUCAGGGGGCGGCAAGCCAUUCACGUCAUGGCGGGGACGCUAAGCGCCUAGGAAACGGAAUCUUCUCACUCACACUUACGUGCGAGGAAAGUCACGCGCGUAAAGUACGCAAUAAAGAAAGGUAAUUUGUUUUCGAUAGUUGUGAAGUGGCACAAUCUCAAGAGUGUGAGAAAGUUCAGCUGUCAUUUUUUUUAAGAUGCAAAAUUUAUUUAAGAAAUGUAGCGUUAACCGCAGCCACCUUGCGGCUGCUGUCACGGGAAGAUCUACAAUCACCAGCGGAUCAUGUGCGCGUCCUGAAAAGCGGCCCUCUACCUCUACUCAAUGUCCGGCACACCCAAAUUAGUGCAGCUGUCAAACCCCAAGCGCCAGCCAGGUGCGGCUGUUGCAUAACUUGGAUCUUUCUAGAAGAACGCCUCUGGUUCCCUUUCCCGAGAGCGGCGUCACUCUCGAUAUGCUAUUUAUGAGUGCUCUAAUAAACCGCUAUCUUUCAAUACUUCCGUCACUAAAUAUUAACUGUCUCUUUGUAUAUUCCUGGAGCUCCAAUUAUGGGUUAUGCUCCUCGAAAAGUCUGCUUCGAGGAAGAAAGGAAAGCGAAAAAAUAAUAUGAGGGCGGAAAAUCAUUACUGCUGAAUUGUUCUCAUAAAUCAGUACGGAUAAAGAAGAAAUGGGAAGGCGAUGGGUGCUGGUGUCCGGGCUGACAUCAGUGCAGGGAUCACGUGGAGGAUUCGGAAACGUGCAUGAAAGUGCGGCCGAGGCCUUUAGCUGACGCUGGGGCCCGAGUGAAAUGGACUGUAAUCAGAACACAGCGAAAAGCGGAGCGGCAGGAAUGGAAGAGCAGGGUCAUCAGCAUGUUAUAUUUCAUUUAUUGAGCAGAUGCUUUUAUCCAAAGCGGUGGACAUUUUUGAGAAAACAGGGUCAGUCAGUCCCUGGAGCAAUUAGGGGUUAUGGGCCUCACUCGAGGGCCCAAUGCUGACAUCACUCUGCCCACUACAGGAUUCAAACCAAUGAUCUUCCGAUCAGCGGCACAGCUUCCUAACCCACUGAAGCAUAUUAACUUCGGUCUGUGGCGUGUUUCCUGGAUGCCGCCCAGCACCUUCUCCUGCUGCGAUGCCCCGUCCGACAGAUGGAGAGCGUUUGAUCAGGCAUGAUGGGUGAGGGAUAGAGCUGCCCCGGGCCUGCCUGUCUGUCGCGUGAUUGGUCAGGCACUCUCCCCCUUUGAUUGUCCAGCCCACUAUAUUCAUUGCAGUCCUUUAUGUAUUUACUUAUUGUUCAUAUACACAUUGCACUACGUGUAUAAUCCCUUGUGUCCAGCACUCCUGCUUCUCACUGUCCUGUCAUUUGCACUGUAAGUCCUGUGAAAGCCAAUCCCUGUCUCUCGCUGUCUGUACGCUGCACCGUGGUCCUGGGGGGACGUUAUUUCAGGUCACUGUGUACCUGUAUAUGGAUGGUGUGGCAAUGAAGCCCAUUUGGCUAGACUUGACUUUAAGCUGUCAGUCACGGGGGGUGUGAGCCUGGGGGGGUCGUGUCGCUACGGAGGCAGGUCUGAAGAAGGUGGGUCAGUUUAGUAUUGGUGCACAGGUCCCUGCGUAAACUCUGCCACAACAAAUGAUGGUGAUAUCACAUGCACAAUACGUGCACAGGUAGAGACACACCUGUUCUAUAACUGCUGCCAGGUAUUAUUUCAUCUUAGUGGCUUGAGUAGCCAAUCGCUGUGGAUUACCCAACAUGCCACCUGUGCGCUUGUACCUUCUGGGCCUCUGCCUCCCAUGAUUAGACAGCUUGAUUACUAACCACGCGUCUUUGUUCGCUGUGCUACAUGUUCUUGGGCUGUAAAGCUGCCCGCGGAUACGAGGAAUGCCGCAGGUGGUGAUGAUGGGGGUGUCGGCUACUCAACCAUCAGCCAUUAUGCAAAUGAGCGUUAAUGGGGAAGGGCACGGUGUGGCAUAAUUACCCCAGAGCCAUUAUAAUUGCAGCCCCUGGGGCAGUUAAUAUCUGUUCUCUGUACUUGUGACUGCUACUCCAGGGGGCAGUUAAUAUGGAGGAGAUGCCAAGUCAAACAAAACCUAUUCAUGUCCGGGCAGAAAAAAGGCUGGGGUUUGUAAUAAAACUGGUUUUGUCACA
Molecule: long non-coding RNA, 9399 nt
Organism: Paramormyrops kingsleyae
Lineage: Eukaryota; Metazoa; Chordata; Actinopteri; Osteoglossiformes; Mormyridae
Source: RefSeq, a predicted model, not a curated record